Molecule: ribosomal RNA, 254 nt
Filed under: uncultured bacterium
Lineage: Bacteria
Description: partial 16S ribosomal RNA
Rfam family: Bacterial small subunit ribosomal RNA
Source: RNAcentral
UACGUAGGUGGCGAGCGUUGUUCGGAAUUACUGGGCGUAAAGCGCGCGCAGGCGGCUUUUUAAGUCCGACGGUGAAAUGCCGGGGCUCAACCCCGUGCCCGCCGCGGAUACUGGGAAGCUGGAGACGAGUAGAGGCAAGCGGAAUUCCGGGUGUAGCGGUGGAAUGCGUAGAGAUCCGGAAGAACACCGGAGGCGAAGGCGGCUUGCUGGGCUCGGUCUGACGCUGAGGCGCGAAAGCGUGGGGAGCGAACAGG